Small nucleolar RNA from Juglans regia (Persian walnut), 105 nucleotides. The record is from RefSeq and is a predicted model, not a curated record. Lineage: Eukaryota; Viridiplantae; Streptophyta; Magnoliopsida; Fagales; Juglandaceae.
AUGUUGAUGUGGACACUUGUGCAAUACAUCAUCGUAUCUCUCCCAUGCCUCAUAUAAUGAUUCACCCACAAAUUGGAUGAAGGUUGAGAUAUCAUUCCUUAACUU